UCUGGUAGUUAUGGCGAGAAGGUCACACCCGUUCCCAUCCCGAACACGGUAGUUAAGCUUCUCUGCGCCAAUGGUAGUUGGGG
This 83-nucleotide ribosomal RNA is filed under the name Listeria monocytogenes. The record is from RNAcentral. Lineage: Bacteria; Bacillati; Bacillota; Bacilli; Caryophanales; Listeriaceae.